Non-coding RNA from Mus caroli (Ryukyu mouse), 1011 nucleotides. Lineage: Eukaryota; Metazoa; Chordata; Mammalia; Rodentia; Muridae. The record is from RefSeq and is a predicted model, not a curated record.
ACCUUGUCCUGGCAUAACAGCCUAUCCAACACCAUUCCCAGUUUCCUGCUGUUCCCCAGCUUUGGGGCUGGGAGGAACAAACCCACCCCCAUCCCCACCUCCACCCUGCCAGCAACCCACCUUCAUUCAGCACAAGCAUUCCUUUGCCUAGGAAGAAGCAGGCUUCAGUUCUUCCAUUGCUCUAUGCUUCAACCUCAACCGGUCUCCAGGUUUUUAAAUGCCUGUAUGGAAAUAAUCACUCACUAGCUGCCUAUUGCAAGCUAGCAGGACUCUUGAAGCAGAUCAUCCAGAUCAUCUCAGAAGGACUCUCCCAGCUUCUAAUCCUAUUGCUGCACUGGCUGUGAGUGUGCAGUAAAUGUGAAGAAAUAUGAGAAGGUGACUAUAAACCAGAAACAAUAAAUCUACACAACUUCUGGGAAAUCACCAACCUUCUAUUAGUCAUUAAUUAAACCAUCAAUCAAAAGGAUACACGUGCCAACCAGGAAGAAGUCUUCAGAUGGCCAACCAUUUGUUACAUCAUAGCUUAUGAAAUAAUCCAUCUUUUUUUCAUAAGCCAGCCUUCCUGCUCAGCGGCACACAAGGAGACAAAUCUUUCAGCUACUUCUGCUGGUGUCCUAUGCCUGCAACCUGAAAUUAGGAAAAGCACGCUGAAGUGUUGAGAAGCAGGAAGAAAAAGGCCUUGUAGGACAGAGCCCAUCCUUAGAAGAGGGAAAUGAUCCUUGAGGACAGGGCAAGCUUCUUCUGAGAAACAGUUUCAUCUCCUUGAGCGCUGCCAGCUAUGGGACUCCUUCAGCUCCUUUGCAGAAACAGACUACGUGAUCAUCCAGACAAGGCCCUGACAGUGACUGCAUAACUGUGCAUGCCCACUGCCCUCCUGCACCAACUCUUUCUCUCCGUACAAGUCUGAAUCCAUGUCAGUAACCAGAGGAUGGGCCUGGGGUCAGCAAAUACCUUUAUUUGUUUCUCUUCCUAGUGUGGUCACAUUAAAUAAACCUCUCGUUGCUUUUCACU